CCUACGGGAGGCAGCAGUGAGGAAUAUUGGUCAAUGGACGAGAGUCUGAACCAGCCAAGUAGCGUGAAGGAUGACUGCUCUAUGGGUUGUAAACUUCUUUUAUAUGGGAAUAAAACGUUCCACGUGUGGGAUUUUGUAUGUACCAUAUGAACAAGGAACGGCUAACCCCGUGCCAGCAGCCGCGGUAAUACGGAGGAUCCGAGCGUUAUCCGGAUUUAUUGGGUUGAAAGGGAGCGUAGGGGGGUUGUUAAGUCAGUUGUGAAAGUUUGCGGCUCAACCGUCAAAUUGCAGUUGAAACUGGCAGUCUUGAGUACAGGAGAGGUGGGCGGAAUUCGUGGUGUAGCGGUGAAAUGCUUAGAUAUCACGAAGAACACCGAUUGCGAAGGCAGUUCCCUGGACUGCAACUGACACUGAGGCUCGAAAGUGUGGGUAUCAAACAGGAUUAGAUACCCUUGUAGUC
Molecule: ribosomal RNA, 460 nt
Filed under: uncultured bacterium
Lineage: Bacteria
Description: partial 16S ribosomal RNA
Rfam family: Bacterial small subunit ribosomal RNA
Source: RNAcentral